RNAcentral lists this ribosomal RNA (447 nucleotides) under uncultured bacterium. RNAcentral describes it as "partial 16S ribosomal RNA". It matches the Rfam family "Bacterial small subunit ribosomal RNA", at positions 29 to 523 of the family's 1533-position model. The record is from RNAcentral.
AACGAACGCUGGCGGCAUGCCUAACACAUGCAAGUCGAACGGUGCCUUCGGGCACAGUGGCGCACGGGUGAGUAACACGUGGGACCCUGCCUCUCGGUUCGGAAUAACGUUUGGAAACGAACGCUAACACCGGAUACGCCCUUCGGGGGAAAGUUUACGCCGAGAGAGGGGCCCGCGUCGGAUUAGGUAGUUGGUGAGGUAACGGCUCACCAAGCCGACGAUCCGUAGCUGGUCUGAGAGGAUGAUCAGCCACACUGGGACUGAGACACGGCCCAGACUCCUACGGGAGGCAGCAGUGGGGAAUAUUGGACAAUGGGCGCAAGCCUGAUCCAGCAAUGCCGCGUGAGUGAUGAAGGCCUUAGGGUUGUAAAGCUCUUUCGCACGCGACGAUGAUGACGGUAGCGUGAGAAGAAGCCCCGGCUAACUUCGUGCCAGCCGCCGCAGUAA